UUGAUUACACUGGAGUCAGGAGCUGCGUGUGGUCCAAAGAACGGCAGCCAAAGGAAGUUAUGUUCAUCUGGCACCAACAUGGUGAAGGGGUCUGCUGGGGAGGAGGGGGUGGCCACUUUGUUUCCUCUUUCCUUUGGUGGAGGAGGGCAACUUUCCCUCUGCCAGUAGGGUCCUUUAGUGGUGAUCGAUGGCGAGUCAAUCACCUGGCAAGAUAUUAAUCAAAUUUAAACCUGCUCUUUAGCAAUCUCUUCAGCUUGUGCCUCCUAUAGAACAAACUGCUUUAACAAAAUAGGGCAGGAUUAUCGAAUCUUGGGAAUGGGAAGAGGUUCAGGGGUCAUAAAAUCUGGUAGUUACCAAAUACAGUUUUGUAGCAGGAGAAAAAUCAGACACUGGUUAGUUUAUCUAAAUGUAUUCAAUGUAAAGACCUAGUCUUACUCUAAGAUUUUCUUUGUCUUCCUAUUUUUCUAGUGAUAUAUGGUAUUUGUAGUUCAUAUAUAUAUAUGUGUGUGUGUGUAUAUAUAUAUAUUUGUUGUUGUUGUUGUUGUUGUUUAGAUUUGCCUUUUAUUUUGUCAGAUGGAGUCCAACAUUUUGAAUUAGAAAUAUGGAUGCCCCACCAGCAGUUCUCAAUGGGGGGCUGGCCAUUCAAAUCCCUUGCAGCAUAUUUAGAAAUGAUUCCCUAGGGACACCUGGGGUGGCUUAGCGGUUUACCGCCUGCCUGCCUUCCGCCCAGGGUGUGAUCCUGGAGUCCUGGGAUCGAGACCCACAUCAGGCUUCCUACAGGGAGCCUGCUUCUCCUCUGCCUGUUUCUGCCUCUCUCUCUCUCUCUCUCUCUCUCUCAUGAAUAAAUAAAUAAAAUCUUUAAAAAAAAAAAAAAAAGAAAUGAUUCCCUAGAUACACUACCUGGGACUCUGACUCAGGUGGGGAGGGGAGGUUGGGAGUUUUAAAGACUACUCAGUUGACAGUAACAGGGGACCUGCGGAGAAGCUCUUCAAAGGCAGCAGAGUUCACUGGCUGCGUUAAUAGUACCUGUCAGUCAGGAUCACCAGGAGACUUAGUGUUAAUAAACAAACAAAAAAGAUUUCUCAGGAGCAAGAUUAAUUAAUUCAGUAAUUCUGGGACUGGGCCCCAAACUCUUCAUCUCAACAAGUGACUAAUUUGAUUCUGAUGUGGAGGCCACAGAUUACAUGUGUUGAAACACUGUCAGGAGUGUGUUAGAGUCGUGCUGGGCACUCCGACAUGCAAAAGUCGGAACCCAGGGUAAGAGGUGAAGCUUCUGAACCCCAGUUUCCUAGUCUGAGAAGUGAGGAUAAAUUGGGAUCCAUCUUGCAAAGUUUCUGUGAGAUUAAAUGAGAUGUUACACAGGUGU
Molecule: long non-coding RNA, 1366 nt
Filed under: Canis lupus familiaris (dog)
Lineage: Eukaryota; Metazoa; Chordata; Mammalia; Carnivora; Canidae
Description: lncRNA (ENSCAFG00040008331.1)
Source: RNAcentral